UACGUAGGGUGCAAGCGUUAAUCGGAAUUACUGGGCGUAAAGCGUGCGCAGGCGGUUGUGUAAGUCAGAUGUGAAAUCCCCGGGCUCAACCUGGGAACUGCAUUUGUGACUGCACAGCUGGAGUGCGGCAGAGGGGGAUGGAAUUCCGCGUGUAGCAGUGAAAUGCGUAGAUAUGCGGAGGAACACCGAUGGCGAAGGCAAUCCCCUGGGCCUGCACUGACGCUCAUGCACGAAAGCGUGAGGAGCAAACAGG
Molecule: ribosomal RNA, 253 nt
Filed under: uncultured bacterium
Lineage: Bacteria
Description: partial 16S ribosomal RNA
Rfam family: Bacterial small subunit ribosomal RNA
Source: RNAcentral